RNAcentral lists this ribosomal RNA (467 nucleotides) under uncultured bacterium. RNAcentral describes it as "partial 16S ribosomal RNA". It matches the Rfam family "Bacterial small subunit ribosomal RNA", at positions 29 to 507 of the family's 1533-position model. The record is from RNAcentral.
ACGAACGCUGGCGGCGUGCUUAACACAUGCAAGUCGAACGGGAAGGCCCUGCUUUUGUGGGGUGCUCGAGUGGCGAACGGGUGAGUAACACGUGAGUAACCUGCCCUUGACUUUGGGAUAACUUCAGGAAACUGGGGCUAAUACCGGAUAGGAGCUCCUGCUGCAUGGUGGGGGUUGGAAAGUUUCGGCGGUUGGGGAUGGACUCGCGGCUUAUCAGCUUGUUGGUGGGGUAGUGGCUUACCAAGGCUUUGACGGGUAGCCGGCCUGAGAGGGUGACCGGCCACAUUGGGACUGAGAUACGGCCCAGACUCCUACGGGAGGCAGCAGUGGGGAAUAUUGCACAAUGGGCGGAAGCCUGAUGCAGCAACGCCGCGUGCGGGAUGACGGCCUUCGGGUUGUAAACCGCUUUCGCCUGUGACGAAGCGUGAGUGACGGUAAUGGGUAAAGAAGCGCCGGCUAACUACGUG